This 408-nucleotide long non-coding RNA is filed under the name Salvia miltiorrhiza (redroot sage). RNAcentral's name for it is "long non-coding RNA (SMIL_LNC008728)". The record is from RNAcentral. Lineage: Eukaryota; Viridiplantae; Streptophyta; Magnoliopsida; Lamiales; Lamiaceae.
ACAAGUUAACAUUAUUUACUUGAGAGAAGAUAGUUUUCAAAUAUACAUUAAUUCAUCUUAAAUGAAACUUCCCCGGAUACACUCUCUUAAGCGAAGACUCAUCUAAACUCGUAUAGGAAAAACCACAUUUUUGACCAUUGACAAAAAGACAUUUAUUAUUGGCUCUAAAAAAAUGACAUUUAUUAGUCCAUUAGUUCAUAUUCAUAACAUCCCCCCGGCCACCAAAAAAAAAAAAAAAAAAACGACAAAAGAGUCAAAAAGAGGCCCUAGUGUCUCUCAAUGAAGUCGAGAUUUCUUGUUCUCAUCGCAAGAAAUUAAAUUAAAAUUCAAGAUAGUAAAAAUUGUGAUGAAUUUGUGUAUGCAGAUGACGUGCUGCAUGACCUUAACAUAGAUAACGAUGUUAUUCUC